GAGGCAUAGCUCAGCUGGUAGAGCAUCCGCCUCACACGCGGGGGGUCACAGGUUCGAGUCCUGCUGUCUCC
This 71-nucleotide transfer RNA is filed under the name human gut metagenome. It matches the Rfam family "tRNA". From Rfam's summary of the family: Transfer RNA (tRNA) molecules are approximately 80 nucleotides in length. Their secondary structure includes four short double-helical elements and three loops (D, anti-codon, and T loops). The record is from RNAcentral. RNAcentral also lists the same sequence under 2 other names.